This 1070-nucleotide long non-coding RNA is filed under the name Equus asinus (donkey). RNAcentral describes it as "lncRNA (ENSEASG00005029623.1)". Lineage: Eukaryota; Metazoa; Chordata; Mammalia; Perissodactyla; Equidae. The record is from RNAcentral.
UGCCUUAAGGCUUAGGAACAGGACUCUUUGGAUGAAUUAUUAGGGGUAGGAAACACACACACAUAUGCAUGAGGUGCCUUCACUUACCUGAAUCAUCGGAGAGAACUGCUGAGCUCCAUGUUUUCAUUGACAGGGGUCUCCCUUCUCUCUGAAUUUGUGCUCUGCUGACCCUCCCUCCACCUGCAGUGUCCUUAUCCAUGCAUUUUCCUCUGUCUAGAUGCAGACUUCUUUUCUCCAUGUGAUCACACAAUAGUAUAUUUGUCAUCUUCUUUUCAAAUCCUGCUCUAGGAAGCACCAGGACCAUAGAAGCCUGGAGGCAAAAGUCUUUAAAAAUUUUUUAAAGAAAUUGUCAAAUGGAGCUUAAGUGGAUGAGAAGAAAAAUCGGUGCAGUUCUAAGCCCCACAGAGCCAUCAGCAAAUAAAAUGGCCAGAAUCUCUGCUUUUAUCAAGCUUACACUGAGUGAGGAAAGUGUUGGGAAGAUCUGACAAGAGAAUAAUAGGAAGAAGGCUGUUCCUGCAGAGACGUCUCUUGUAGAUAUGUCUUUGAGAACAUUAUCAUCUUCUUGAAAAUUGUGAUCUUAUCUGCCUAGCAUCUCAUAUCAUAUCUGUUUGCAAAUCCCAUCUAUUCCUGAGGAGAACUCAUUCCAUAUGAUUUGAGCAUGGAUGACUCCAUCUUCCAGAUGCAGAAGAGGACACAUGCCCCAGGCUUGACUAAUUAAAGCACCGGAGUCCCCUGGCCACGGUGCUUAGUUCAGGAGGAGUUGCCCCUGGUAAUUGUCUGCUGGAACUGCUGGGAAAGUUGCCUCCUUUCUAUGGGGGUUGCUAAGAGAGACUGAUGUGAUCUUGCAGGCUGCAGCUAUUCAUUGUACCUAGAAGGCCUGUCCAAGAUAGGAAGAGUGAGAGCCGCAUAUGAACACCUGGAUCCCACUAUGCUUAAAGCUAGAAACCUAUGAACUUUUCAUUUAUGUAAGCUAAUGCAAUCUCUGUUUUGUUUAACUUAAUGUGAGAUGGGCCUUUAUCACUAGCAAUUAAAAGAGUCUUAACUAAUAGAAUGACUUGACUAUAAAAUAC